RNAcentral lists this ribosomal RNA (496 nucleotides) under uncultured bacterium. RNAcentral's name for it is "partial 16S ribosomal RNA". It matches the Rfam family "Bacterial small subunit ribosomal RNA", at positions 29 to 507 of the family's 1533-position model. The record is from RNAcentral.
AUGAACGCUGGCGGCGUGCCUAAUACAUGCAAGUCGAGCGAACAGACGAGGAGCUUGCUCCUCUGACGUUAGCGGCGGACGGGUGAGUAACACGUGGAUAGCCUACCUAUAAGACUGGGAUAACUUCGGGAAACCGGAGCUAAUACCGGAUAAUAUAUUGAACCGCAUGGUUCAAUAGUGAAAGACGGUUUUGCUGUCACUUAUAGAUGGAUCCGCGCCGCAUUAGCUAGUUGGUAAGGUAACGGCUUACCAAGGCAACGAUGCGUAGCCGACCUGAGAGGGUGAUCGGCCACACUGGAACUGAGACACGGUCCAGACUCCUACGGGAGGCAGCAGUAGGGAAUCUUCCGCAAUGGGCGAAAGCUUGACGGAGCAACGCCGCGUGAGUGAUGAAGGUCUUCGGAUCGUAAAACUCUGUUAUUAGGGAAGAACAAAUGUGUAAGUAACUAUGCACGUCUUGACGGUACCUAAUCAGAAAGCCACGGCUAACUACGUG